Molecule: transfer RNA, 73 nt
Organism: Neolentinus lepideus HHB14362 ss-1
Lineage: Eukaryota; Fungi; Basidiomycota; Agaricomycetes; Gloeophyllales; Gloeophyllaceae
Rfam family: tRNA
About the family: Transfer RNA (tRNA) molecules are approximately 80 nucleotides in length. Their secondary structure includes four short double-helical elements and three loops (D, anti-codon, and T loops).
Source: Rfam
UCCCACUUAGCUCAGUUGGUAGAGCGCGACACUAGUAAUGUCGAGGUCAGUCGUUCAAGUCGGCUAGUGGGAA